GAUGAACGCUGGCGGCGUGCCUAAUACAUGCAAGUCGAGCGAACAGACGAGGAGCUUGCUCCCCUGACGUUAGCGGCGGACGGGUGAGUAACACGUGGAUAACCUACCUAUAAGACUGGGAUAACUUCGGGAAACCGGAGCUAAUACCGGAUAAUAUAUUGAACCGCAUGGUUCAAUAGUGAAAGACGGCUUUGCUGUCACUUAUAGAUGGAUCCGCGCCGCAUUAGCUAGUUGGUAAGGUAACGGCUUACCAAGGCAACGAUGCGUAGCCGACCUGAGAGGGUGAUCGGCCACACUGGAACUGAGACACGGUCCAGACUCCUACGGGAGGCAGCAGUAGGGAAUCUUCCGCAAUGGGCGAAAGCCUGACGGAGCAACGCCGCGUGAGUGAUGAAGGUCUUCGGAUCGUAAAACUCUGUUAUUAGGGAAGAACAGAUGUGUAAGUAACUAUGCACGUCUUGACGGUACCUAAUCAGAAAGCCACGGCUAACUACGUG
Molecule: ribosomal RNA, 497 nt
Filed under: uncultured bacterium
Lineage: Bacteria
Description: partial 16S ribosomal RNA
Rfam family: Bacterial small subunit ribosomal RNA
Source: RNAcentral